RNAcentral lists this transfer RNA (87 nucleotides) under Candidatus Woesearchaeota archaeon. RNAcentral describes it as "tRNA-Ile". It matches the Rfam family "tRNA". Rfam says of the family: Transfer RNA (tRNA) molecules are approximately 80 nucleotides in length. Their secondary structure includes four short double-helical elements and three loops (D, anti-codon, and T loops). The record is from RNAcentral. Lineage: Archaea; Nanobdellati; Candidatus Woesearchaeota.
GCUGAGGUGGCUGAAUCUGGUCAAGGCGGAGAUCUGAUGAAUCUCUACGUUACCCAACGUAUGCGGGUUCAAAUCCCGUCCUCAGCG